RNAcentral lists this ribosomal RNA (497 nucleotides) under uncultured bacterium. RNAcentral describes it as "partial 16S ribosomal RNA". It matches the Rfam family "Bacterial small subunit ribosomal RNA", at positions 28 to 507 of the family's 1533-position model. The record is from RNAcentral.
GAUGAACGCUGGCGGCGUGCCUAAUACAUGCCAGUCGAGCGAACGGACGAGAAGCUUGCUUCUCUGAUGUUGGCGGCGGACGGGUGAGUAACACGUGGAUAACCUACCUAUAAGACUGGGAUAACUUCGGGAAACCGGAGCUAAUACCGGAUGAUAUUUUGAACCGCAUGGUUCAAAAGUGAAAGACGGUCUUGCUGUCACUUAUAGAUGGAUCCGCGCUGCAUUAGCUAGUUGGUAAGGUAACGGCUUACCAAGGCAACGAUGCAUAGCCGACCUGAGAGGGUGAUCGGCCACACUGGAACUGAGACACGGUCCAGACUCCUACGGGAGGCAGCAGUAGGGAAUCUUCCGCAAUGGGCGAAAGCCUGACGGAGCAACGCCGCGUGAGUGAUGAAGGUCUUCGGAUCGUAAAACUCUGUUAUUAGGGAAGAACAUAUGUGUAAGUAACUGUGCACAUCUUGACGGUACCUAAUCAGAAAGCCACGGCUAACUACGUG